CAGGGGUCAAGGCUGGACUGCGGGCUCCCUCGCUGUGGUUGCCUGGGUGCUGGUCGUCCCGUGGUGCCGUUCAGCCUCUGUGGUUGAAACCGCAUGGAUCAAAAGUCACCUGCCAGCCGGCCCCGAGUCCCCCCCACCGCCACCACCCCUGCUCCAGCUGUGAGAGCUGUUUCCUAGGGGUCUUGAGUGGCUCCGAGUGGGCCUGCCCUCGGGAACAGUGGUAUUGCAACACGGGUCAGGGAGGGGGUGAUGAAUUUCUAUCGGUACGUGGUAAGAUAAUGAGGAGCGGCGGACGGGGCCUCUUCUUAGGAGCCACUAAAUCACCCCCCGGGACGGUACCUCCCCGCUGAGGCGAGCCUCCGAGGCCUGGGAAGAUAGUGAGGGAGGAGCUCAGAGCAGAUACCAGGCCCUGUGCCUGCAUGAUCUCCAUGAAUCGUCAUUCGCAGUCACCCCGUAAAGCGGGAGAGGAGCAGAGAGAGAGGGAGACAAAGGAUCCCAAACAGCCCGUGGCUGACAGCAGAGAGCCCCAGGUGGGGCUGGAACUCACCAAAGGUGAGAUCAGGACCUGAGCCGAAGUCGGAGGCUUAACCCACCGAACCACCCACCCAGGCGCCCCUCCGCUGUUGUUCUGAUGGAGGAUGCUGCUUGGGGUGCAGGGCAGGACUGCGUCUGGACCUCUGGCCUGGGGAGGCAGCCUCCUCAGGGUGAUCUGAGCCACAGAGAGAACCGCGGCCGAUUAUGGAGAGCAGAGGCCCACUGGCCGCAUCGCCAGGGCUGCUGCUGCUGCUGCUGCUGCUGCCGCUGCCACCUCACGGCCACCAGAGGAUCCAGGACCCUCCUGCUGUGCACCUCAGCAGUGGCUCAGGACAAGAGCCUAUCACCAUCAUGACCUUUGACUUCACCAAGAUCAGGAAAACCUCUUCCUCCUUUGAGCUUCGAACCUGGGAUCCAGAGGGAGUGAUUUUUUAUGGCGAUACCAACCCCCAGAAGGACUGGUUUGUGCUGGGGCUUCGAGAUGGCAGGCCCGAGAUCCAAAUGCACAACCACUUGGCCCAGCUUACGGUGGGCGCCGGGCCCCGGCUGGACGAUGGGAAGUGGCAUCAGGUGGAAGUGAAGGUCAUCGGGGAUUCGCUGCUGCUGAGUGUGGAUGGGGAGGAGGUGCUGUGCCUGAGACAGGUCUCUGGGCCUCUGGCCGGCAAAGUCCAGCCUGUCGUGAGGAUUGCACUGGGGGGACUGUUGUUCCCUGUCUCCAGUCUCCGUUUGCCGCUCGUCCCCACCCUGGAUGGCUGUCUGCGCCGGGAAAAUUGGCUGGACCAACAGGCCCAGACCUCGGUGUCUGCCCUGACCCGCAGCCUCAGAAGCUGCGCUGCAGAGUCCCAGCCUGGCACAUUCUUCCCUCCGGGGACUCGAGCAGAAUUCAGUCUCCAAGACAUCCCCCAGCCUCAUGCAGAGCCCUGGGCCUUCUCUCUGGACCUGGGACUCCAGCUGGCAGCAGGUUCUGGCCACCUCCUUGCCCUUGGGACCCCAGAAAACCCUCCUUGGCUCAGCCUCCAGCUCCAAGAUCGAAAAGUGGUGCUGUCCUCUGUGUCGGGCCCACAGCUGGAUCUGCCUCUGGUCUCGGGACCCCCUCUUCAGCUGAAGCUGGGCGAGUCUGGGGUAGUCUUGAGCCAGAGGCCUAAGAAGGAGAUCCUUGCCCUGCCUCUCUUGGAUCCUGCCUCCCUCCUCAACCUCUGGGUCCAGCCACAGGGGCGCCUCUUCCUGGGGGCUCUGCCAGGAGAGGCUUCUUCGGCCUCCUUUUGCUUGGAUGGCCUUUGGGCACAAGGCCAGAAGUUGGACAUGGACCGGGCCCUGAGCAGAAGUCAGAACAUCUGGACUCACAGCUGUCCCCAGAGCCUAGGCAAUGACACGGACAGCACCCAUUAAACCCCCACCUAAGAAUCCCCUCGAAUGUCACUCGUUCAUUCACUCGACACAUCUUUACGGGGUAUCUGCAACGUACCAGGCGCUGCGCUGAGCGAUGGGCUGUACUGAUGAGUAACCUCUCCCCCCCCCUUGGUUCCUGCCCUCUGGCUGCUCAAGGUCCCCGGGGGAGGCAGACAUCCAUCAAAGACUGACAAGGAUCAGCCAGGACCUAAGUGACCCCAGGGUAAGGAGGCUCCAGGACUGUGUCUGGGGUGGAAGACAGCCUAGGCUUCUCCUCGGACCCUCCCAGUCUCGAGUUUGCUGGUCUACAGCUGCUGCCACACAGGCAGAGUGCCUUUGGAGCGUCCUCAGCAUGGCCAGGAAGUCCAGAUUCAACUCUGGUCCCCUGGGCAAUGUUUGGGGCCCACCUGGGCCAUUGGGUAUGUCCAUUCGACCGAUAGUCACUGAGGACCUACUGCGUAUCAGGCAUUGUUCUAGACGCUGAGGAUGCCUGGAUGAAAAAGACAGACACGCCAACUUCCCUGUGAACACCGAUGCUGCAAUGAAUAGCAAUGCUCCCUCCAUCACACCCCUCCUCAUGCUGACCCUCACAGGGGAAGAUGUGCACGGAGCAGCAGGUUCCACAGCCUUCCCCUGAAACGACCCGGUCCAAAACGAGGAUGUGGGAUCCCUUGUGCAGAAGGCAGGAAAAAAGUGCCGCUCACGGUACCGAAAGAGAGCAUGUUUUCAUUUCUUC
RNA transcript from Prionailurus viverrinus (fishing cat), 2659 nucleotides. It is a transcript of the gene named sex hormone binding globulin, with no coding region annotated. The record is from RefSeq and is a predicted model, not a curated record. NCBI's taxonomy places the organism in Eukaryota, Metazoa, Chordata, Mammalia, Carnivora, Felidae. The transcript is spliced from 13 exons.